RNAcentral lists this ribosomal RNA (433 nucleotides) under uncultured bacterium. RNAcentral's name for it is "partial 16S ribosomal RNA". It matches the Rfam family "Bacterial small subunit ribosomal RNA", at positions 34 to 507 of the family's 1533-position model. The record is from RNAcentral.
ACCGCCCGCUUUCUUCAUGCCUAACACAUGCCAGUCGAACGAGACCUUCGGGUCUAGUGGCGCACGGGUGCGUAACGCGUGGGAACCUGCCCUUAGGUUCGGAAUAACUCCCCGAAAGGGGUGCUAAUACCGGAUAAUGUCUUCGGACCAAAGAUUUAUCGCCUUUGGAUGGGCCCGCGUUGGAUUAGCUAGUUGGUAGGGUAAAAGCCUACCAAGGCGACGAUCCAUAGCUGGUCUGAGAGGAUGAUCAGCCACACUGGGACUGAGACACGGCCCAGACUCCUACGGGAGGCAGCAGUGGGGAAUAUUGGACAAUGGGCGAAAGCCUGAUCCAGCAAUGCCGCGUGAGUGAUGAAGGCCUUAGGGUUGUAAAGCUCUUUUACCCGGGAUGAUAAUGACAGUACCGGGAGAAUAAGCUACGGCUAACUCCGUG